ACAGACUAUGAAAACCGAAAUUUAUUAUUAUGAAGUUGUAUUCUGGAUGGGGAGAAUAUUGAUAAUGUAGAUAGGUGCUCAUUACUCCACGGCCUACCAGCUACCAUGCUACCAGCUAUCUGUAUUUAAAAUAAAUAAAAAUAGUUGUGUAUUUCAUAUUUGAUCGUUCAUUCUUUGUUCUGAAAAUGUUUGGUCAUUCUUGAUUUCAUAACCUCUGUCAUCUGCUGUUAUUACUGAUA
Molecule: non-coding RNA, 239 nt
Organism: Cinara cedri
Lineage: Eukaryota; Metazoa; Arthropoda; Insecta; Hemiptera; Aphididae
Source: the annotation of a GenBank genome assembly